Molecule: long non-coding RNA, 1794 nt
Organism: Pleuronectes platessa (European plaice)
Lineage: Eukaryota; Metazoa; Chordata; Actinopteri; Pleuronectiformes; Pleuronectidae
Exons: 2
Source: RefSeq, a predicted model, not a curated record
UUUUUUUUAUAACCUAACCCUGCUUCAUAUUUCUCCACAACUUUAUCCCUGACCUGUUUGGUGAGCUCCUUGGUCUUCAUGAUGCUGUUUGUUCAGUAAUGAUCUCCAACAAACUCUGAGUCCGUCACAGAACAGGUGUAUUUAUACUGAGAUUAAAUUGCAGACAGGUGGACCCUAUUUACUAAUUAUGUGACUUGCAAAUGUGACUUGUGAAUGCAAUUGGUCGCACCAGAUCUUUGUUAGGGGUUUCACAGUAAAGGGGGUGAAUACAUAUGCACUCGACACUUUUCAGAUUUUUAUUUGUAAAUAAUUGUGAAAUCCAUGUAAUAUUUCCCCCCACUUCCAAAUGAUGCACUAUUUCGUGUUGGUCCAUUACAUAAACUCACGAUGAAAUAAAUUUUAAUCUGUGGUUAUACCAUGACAAAAUGUAGAAAAGUCCAAAGGGGGUGAAUACUUAUGCAAGGCACUGUAUAUCUAGCUCAUAAUUCCACUGUGAUUAAGUUACUAUCUACUGUAGUUUGAGGAGCUAAGGGACAUAGACUGUUAUAACCAUAAAUGAAAGAACACACAAUACACAACAUGCUUAACUGUGAUUAGCAAUUUUUUUACCUUGUUGAAUUUAAAGGGCAUCUCUUUGGUGUUUGCUUCAUCAAAGCGGUUCAUCCAGUUUCCCUUAAAGUAGAUGGCAUUGACCAGCGCCAGCCUUGACAUUGCAGUGACUGUUCCCUGCUUCAGCAGAUCUUUUAUUUUAUCUGAAAUGUAACAGAAAACCUGAGAAUCCAGAACAAUGGAGAAAGAUUUAUUUCCUUUUUCAUUGAACUCAGGUGUAAAGUCGUACUUUCUGUCUGCUGCUCGACCCAGGUGUUGAUCUCCGCUCUGCUUGCCUCCGCGGCCCCGAUGAAAUCCACAGUCUUCAGGUCGGCCUGGUAGUACUUACACGUGGCUUCCAGGAAUCGCUGCACAGACCACAUAUCAUCUUAUACUUUCAAGGAAGCUUUUAAGAAGUAUCAAUUUCUGCUAAGAUAACUGAAAAGUUAAAAACUCACAGGAAGAAACUUUUCGGUUUUCUCCCCAUACAGACGAUUGGCUGUUUUCAGAAUGUAUGACGCCGAUGGUGAGUUGAUGUCUGCGAUUAGCGUCUCGAAGUCGGCGUGGACGGCUUCACCAGAACUGAAUGACAGGGCCUGUGUGGAAGUUUGGAUUGACACAUGAUGACACGGAAACCCGAGUGAGAUGCUGCAGAUGCAAAUUUUUAACACUGAAGUCAUCAAUGCAUGAGACGAAAACAAUAUACAACUAACAGAGACAUGGUGUGAUGUACCUGGGCCAUUUGAGCAGCUGUGUCUCCUCUGGCUCCCAGGUAGACCAUAGCCAGAGCUGAACUGAUGCUCAGCGGAGACACCAACACAUUCCCCGAUGGGUUUGCACGGCUCAGAGUCCGGAACAGCUCCAAGGCAAAGGCUGUGUUUGAGCUGCUGAUGGCGGCCAUGGCUGAGGAUGUACAGUUGUCCUGUAAUGAACAAAAACAGAUUUUAAGACAUGUAAUUUGACAUCUGAACAGAAAUGCACCUGAUUGCUGCUUGACUGUAUUUCAUUUUUUUUGCGGAACAAAAAGUGCUAAGACCCAGAGACCCAGCAGCUUGGUUGGGAUUCAACUAAACUCAAUGUUUUAUUGUAUAUGGCGCCAGAUCAUAAUGCACAUUCUCUCAUAGCACUUUGAUGAUGAUACCGUGGACAGAAAGUAACAGUAAUGAUGACGAAGGGAUGCUAUUAAUAAACAGGGGGUGUAAACCA